RNAcentral lists this long non-coding RNA (1201 nucleotides) under Dermacentor andersoni. RNAcentral's name for it is "uncharacterized LOC126519132". Lineage: Eukaryota; Metazoa; Arthropoda; Arachnida; Ixodida; Ixodidae. The record is from RNAcentral.
UUGCCCAUACCGUGCAAGGAUAAGUGGUGACUUUUCGAUGUUAUCUUAGGCGAGCCUCAAUAAUGACAUGUGCAUUGGGAUUUAUUUCCCCAGUGUGAUGUUGAGCCACUCGACAACGUGCAGAAAAAAGUCGGCGACAAGGUUCUCCGCAUUGACAUUGGUGGUCGCUGGACAACGUGUAGCACAAGGACAGGCAUAAUCACGACAGCCAGGAAGUUUCCAUCGUCAUCAUAAGUCCGCCCCAUGACGUUGCAGCUUCCGUGGGCUCCACGGUGUCCACUAUGCCUCGGAUUAUCAUUUCUAAUGGAACAGAAUGCAUCGCAGAGAAGCUGUUGCUAAGGGUGCUCAAAUGAACCCUCAGCCACACAAGGUUCCAAUUUUUCACUUGUUUCUUGCGCGAUGAGUAUUUAUGAUGAACACUAGCCUCCCAACAUUAUUUGAGUACUGGGGGCUUGCUGUACCUCGCUGCCUAUAUCCCAUCAUACCGGUCAGGCAUUCUAGGUCACUCUUAAGGUGCUGCCGCUGCUAAUCAUUGUAUGGACCUAGGUGAUGCUCUACUUCGUCAUUCUGUGAUGAGCGGAAGGUUAUUGGCUCAGCUUCAGUUCUUGCAUAUCAAGUGCCGAGUUACGGCAGGGACGCCCAUUAUUGCAUCGUACACGUGCAAACUUCUUUUUCCAUGGCCCGUGAUAGUCAAGCGGCAUUCAGGGCAAGUGUUAUGUUCAUGUUCUGAUAUUCUUGAGGGCUGUCCCUCCAUCUGGCCCUUCCUGCGUGAAUUCCGGGAAGUGUGGGAAUGUGGUGAGGCCCUUACCCACACUGCCCACACUGGAUAAUGGGCGAGGAAGGCCUAUCAGAAAUUAAAAUGUGUGGAUGUCGCCCGAGGCCUUUGUUUGGUAUAUGAUGUGCUUAUUUAUCGAACGAACUUCUAUACAACCACGAUGCAUUUAACACAUUAUUGAAUAUCAAAGUAACUUGAUAACUUUCUGGACAAAGUUAGCUUGUAAUUAUGUGAUAAGAAAUCUCACAUCUAUCGAAGAUGUAUUUUUGUGUCGAAUUUGACGCUGGUAUGAUAAAGUUCGUCUGUAGCAAGACAUGCAUUAUGGUUGCUGUAGGUCCUAAAUCUCUGGGAAUGUGCAGGCAACUACUCGAAAAAUGUCGGCUAGCGCAACUGUAUUAUGAGCAAGGGAACAGAGUUCUUUUAUCU